UACGUAGGGUGCGAGCGUUAAUCGGAAUUACUGGGCGUAAAGCGCACGCAGGCGGUCUCUUACGUUUGGUGUGACAGUUGGUGGCUUAACUGCCAAAGUGCUUCGAAAACUGAGAGACUUGAGGGCUUCAGAGGGACACGGAAUUCCGGGUGGAGUGGUGAAAUGCGUAGAGAUCCGGAGGAACACCAAAGGCGAAGGCAGUGUCCUGGGGAGUACCUGACGCUCAGGUGCGAAAGCCAGGGGAGCGAACGGG
Molecule: ribosomal RNA, 253 nt
Filed under: uncultured bacterium
Lineage: Bacteria
Description: partial 16S ribosomal RNA
Rfam family: Bacterial small subunit ribosomal RNA
Source: RNAcentral